Molecule: non-coding RNA, 489 nt
Organism: Coffea arabica (coffee)
Lineage: Eukaryota; Viridiplantae; Streptophyta; Magnoliopsida; Gentianales; Rubiaceae
Source: RefSeq, a predicted model, not a curated record
CUAAUGCGCUUUUUGGACAACUUUUUAUAGCUCAGAUGAAGGAAGAACGAAAUAAGGAGGCUACUUUUCUUAUUUCAGCCUUCAAGGUGAAGAAGUGGAUAAAGAAUCUAAACUGACACCUUAUGGUGAAAAAAUUAGUCGAGGUAUGUGGUGAUGGAAAUAUCACAAUUAGCCUGGCACUAUUGUCUUUGAGCUACUGGAAGAUGAUCAAUGUGGUUCUUUACAAACUAAAAUUGAAGGAUAUAGCAGUCCAGAUGCCAAGUCAAACCCUUUACAAGACCCUCGGACUAGCUUUGGAUUCGGAACGCAAGUCAUGGUUUUCUUUUGAAUUGAUGUAGUUCAGAAUUUGAGUUAAAUAGGUACUUAUUUACCUUAUGCUAUCCUCGGUUACUUGUUACUUUUUCUAAAGAAACUUAACUGAUACAAAUUCCCCAAUUUAUUCGACCAAAAAAAUUUUUGCUUUUGUUUUUAAUUGGACCUAUAAUACAA